AACGAACGCUGGCGGCAUGCCUAACACAUGCAAGUCGAACGAGACCUUCGGGUCUAGUGGCGCACGGGUGCGUAACGCGUGGGAACCUGCCCUUAGGUUCGGAAUAACUCCCCGAAAGGGGUGCUAAUACCGGAUAAUGUCUUCGGACCAAAGAUUUAUCGCCUUUGGAUGGGCCCGCGUUGGAUUAGCUAGUUGGUAGGGUAAAAGCCUACCAAGGCGACGAUCCAUAGCUGGUCUGAGAGGAUGAUCAGCCACACUGGGACUGAGACACGGCCCAGACUCCUACGGGAGGCAGCAGUGGGGAAUAUUGGACAAUGGGCGAAAGCCUGAUCCAGCAGUGCCGCGUGAGUGAUGAAGGCCUUAGGGUUGUAAAGCUCUUUUACCCGGGAUGAUAAUGACAGUACCGGGGGAAUAAGCUCCGGCUAACUCCGUG
This 433-nucleotide ribosomal RNA is filed under the name uncultured bacterium. RNAcentral describes it as "partial 16S ribosomal RNA". It matches the Rfam family "Bacterial small subunit ribosomal RNA", at positions 29 to 507 of the family's 1533-position model. The record is from RNAcentral.